GCCGCCGCCUCUGCCGCCGCGACGGUCCGGGCCGCGGUCGCCCAGGGACUUUGAAUAUGUCGGGGAUUGCCCUCAGCCGACUUGCGCAGGAGAGGAAAGCCUGGAGGAAGGACCACCCUUUUGUAAGGAGCAGCCUGUGUCUGGUCACAGGAGGGGCUUUCCGUUGACUUGGUAUACUCAGCCUGUGGCCACUGGGUGAGAGCCAGGCUUGUUGUCUUGAGCUGGUUUGUUUUGUGACUUCUUUCUCAGGGCUUUGUGGCUGUCCCAACAAAGAACCCUGAUGGCACGAUGAACCUGAUGAACUGGGAGUGUGCUAUCCCUGGAAAGAAGGGG
This 333-nucleotide long non-coding RNA is filed under the name Rattus norvegicus (Norway rat). RNAcentral's name for it is "long non-coding RNA NONRATT005277". Lineage: Eukaryota; Metazoa; Chordata; Mammalia; Rodentia; Muridae. The record is from RNAcentral.